UCUUUCUUUUGUUUUUUCAUUGAACCCAUCCUUCUGCAGAACAGUAUCUCUUUGAAUAAGAAUAAAUCUGGCCAGGCACAGUGGCUCAUGCCUGUAAUCCCUGCGCUUUGGGAAGCUGAGGUAGGAGGAUCACUUGAGGCCAACAGUUCAAGACCACCUGAGCAACAUAGCAAGACCGCAUUUCUACAGAAAAAUAAAUAAAUAAAAAGAAGAAGAAAUCUGCCUGAAUACACUUCUUAAGAAUGGCAAAAAAAACAACUACAUAAGAAUACAAAGAGAUGCCAAUAUAAG
Long non-coding RNA from Sapajus apella (tufted capuchin), 291 nucleotides. RefSeq lists it as uncharacterized. NCBI's taxonomy places the organism in Eukaryota, Metazoa, Chordata, Mammalia, Primates, Cebidae. The transcript is spliced from 3 exons. The record is from RefSeq and is a predicted model, not a curated record.